This 253-nucleotide ribosomal RNA is filed under the name uncultured prokaryote. RNAcentral's name for it is "partial 16S ribosomal RNA". It matches the Rfam family "Bacterial small subunit ribosomal RNA", at positions 525 to 777 of the family's 1533-position model. The record is from RNAcentral.
ACAGAGGCCUCAAGCGUUAGGCGGAAUCACUGGGUUUAAAGGGUGCGUAGGCGGACAGGUAAGUCAGCGGUGAAAUCUCUGGGCUUAACUCAGAAACUGCCGUUGAUACUAUCUGUCUUGAAUAUCCUGGAGGUAAGCGGAAUAUGUCAUGUAGCGGUGAAAUGCUUAGAUAUGACAUAGAACACCGAUAGCGAAGGCAGCUUACUACGGGUUCAUUGACGCUGAGGCACGAAAGCGUGGGGAGCAAACAGGA